This 207-nucleotide ribosomal RNA is filed under the name uncultured soil bacterium. Its description in RNAcentral is "partial 16S ribosomal RNA". It matches the Rfam family "Bacterial small subunit ribosomal RNA", at positions 26 to 218 of the family's 1533-position model. The record is from RNAcentral.
AGAACGAACGCUGGCGGCGUGGAUAAGACAUGCAAGUCGAACGGGAUUACUUUUGUAGCAAUACAGAAGUAAUCCAGUGGCGAACGGGUGCGUAACACGUGGGCAAUCUGCCGAAAAGUGGGGGAUAGCUCGCCGAAAGGCGAAUUAAUACCGCAUGUGGUGAGGGACGACAUCUUCCGUGAAUCCAAAGCCGGGGCAACCUGGCGU